Papaver somniferum (opium poppy) is the source of this 2517-nucleotide long non-coding RNA. RefSeq lists it as uncharacterized. NCBI's taxonomy places the organism in Eukaryota, Viridiplantae, Streptophyta, Magnoliopsida, Ranunculales, Papaveraceae. The record is from RefSeq and is a predicted model, not a curated record. The transcript has 9 exons.
CCUCUCACGGAAUUGAUCCGUUUCACUUUUCCUCGAAGGAGAGAAAAAAGAGAAACUCCCACACAAAUUUCGAACCCAAAACAUAAAACGAAAAAAAACUCAUACCAAACCCUUUUCUGUUUCACUCAUAAAACAUAAAAAAAAAAAAGAAAAACAAACCCUAAAAACAAAGCGUAGGAUAUGCUUUCUUCGUGGAGAUCGAGAGAAAAUAAAACCUAAAAAAAUUCUUCCUUCUUCUCCUUUAUUCACCCAAAAAAAAAAUCUUUCUCCAUCGCGAUGGUUUAUUCUUCGCGUCUCUUUUCUUCUCCGUCCUUUCUUCUUCUCGAUUGUCUCUGUUUUUUUUGAAUUACUAUUGAUUUAUUUUUGUUUUUCUGUCGCAGGUGAUAUACUUUGAUGGGAAUCUGUAAAAAGGGUCUAAUUAGGUACGAAAAAAUUAUGGUAGCAUAGAAGGGAAAUUCACAACAUAAACACAGAUAUAAGACAAUUGCGUCAUUGGGGCUAUGGAGGAGAAAGGCAAUUACGUAACCAUUUCCGGUGGUGGUCGGCAUAAUGCCACAAUAAAAGCUUGAACUUUAUAAUAGAUGAUCCAUGAUUGGGAGGGAUUUUCGAUCUCUGGCACUCACAAUUUGUUCCAGCAUAAAAAUUGUAACUAGCAUUCCUUCCCAGUCUUCAUGGUUAACGCAAGCCAACAGUGGUUCAGAUGGACGAUAUGUCGAGGGGUAUAUCCAGAUGACAAAUCACAUGUUGAGGGAACCGAAACUCACACGGUGGUUCCUAAAACGCACUAUUUGGAAGUUCAAAUCACUGCUCUGCGGGGUUAGAGAUUUUGCGGAUUACCUGUGUAAAGGUGAUGCAAUCAAGUGUGAUUUUGGGGUUAAUGGAUUUAACUCUUACAUCAACACAUACUUCAAUGCUUGAUCCAGGGUAUAACCUUCUCUCUUACAACAAUCAAGAUGUAUUCAUCUUGAUUGUACAUAGAUGAAGUUGAACUGUCAACUGGAGAGUUACAAAUGACAGGCAAUGCAUAAUCUCAUGUCUCUGCAACAUACAAUGAACCAAUGCAUAAGUUCCCUCCAUGUAGAGUGCACUGUGUUGUUAAGGCAAUUGAAGGUCAAGGGACAACUAUUGACGUCGUAUUAGUAAAUGAGAUGCCUCAUGAGGGACAUCAGAUUGUGGUACAUAGGUAGGUGUUCCAAUAAGAAAAUGUAUAUCAUAUGGAAACACAUGUCCAGCAGGGACAAUGAGUUUAUUUCGACAAGAAUAUGGUAUUUGCCUUCCUCGAGCUGCAAGUAUUAAGUUUACUCUUCUCUGAGAAAUUUGAUAGAACCAACUUCACAUUGAAGCUUUAGAUAGUUGACUUUUCUAAUAUUUCGCUAAAAUAUUUGCAUCUUAUGUUAUAUGAUUUGAGAUGGGUAAUUCCUGGAAAGCAUGUUAAAUGAGCCUGUUCUGUGAUUACUUUCUGACUUUCUGUGUUUCAGUAAUUUGUAUUACAUGAAAUGUUGUGAUGUACAUACAGUCUUAGCAUCUUCGAGGCACAAUAACUUCAAAAGUGAUUUUGAGGAAAAAGGAUGGACGGAGAGAGUUGGUAUCUGCUAAAAUUCUCUUCUUAAUUAAAAUUCUUAUAUAUACUUUUUUGAGGUAAUUUUGCAUUUCAUAAUUCAUAUGCUUUCCUCUUUUCCAUGUUCUCACGAUCUCACUCAAGCAAUAACAUAUAAAGGCUUUAGUGUAGCUGUUAUUUGUCGCCCGGAUCCGUUGUGGUGCUAUUUAUUUUUUGUACCUUUAUUAGCUGCGGGGGUGGUUGAUGAUGGCGUCAAAUUAUGACAGGAACAAAAUGGAGUUUACUAUUGCAAUGGGAUUCAGGUAUUUUCCCAUAUAACCAGGCAUUGGGUGGUCAUAGAUCAAGCUACAGUAGUGACAAAAUCAAUCAGAAGAAAUAUAGAAGUUGUUGCAGGUGGAUUAAUAAAUAACAAGAGAAGCUGAAGAGUAAGAGGAUGAGGAUGAGAACCACAAUUUUUAAGAGCAGCAUCAUAGUGAACCUAUGAAAUUCAGAGAUCAGGUUAAGAAAGUAAGAUCCAUUAUAAUUCAAAAAUCUAAGUUGCGCAAACACAUCGAUUUAGCAUUUGCGGGAAGAAACUUCCAACAGGUCAAGCACCUGAAGGACAUGUAAGACACAUCACAAUGGAUUUAGCAUUAACAUUAGUGGUGGACAGCACUCUUCGUCCUCCAUCAAGUAGCUCAUCACUACUAAUAGUUGUACAACUGCUAAUACAGGAGGUGGUCAUCAAGUGGUGCUUGAUUUUGAUCUAAAUGAACCGCCGGUGAUGGAAGAGUAAGAAAGUAAUAGAUCUAAUUGUGAACUGUGGGGUUAUAUAUUAAGUUUAAUUCAAAAAUGCAAUUACAUGUGUCGUUAUCCUUAUAACUUAAAUGUAUUUGUUGUCAUUUAUGCCAUUUUUAUGUUCAGAGCCACAUAUAGCGUGGAUGUAAUACUUGUAAUUCUUUUGUGAUACUUUAUUUAUA